GGUCUCAUAGCAUAAUUGGUUAAUGCACCGCCCUGUCACGGCGGAGAGUGCGGGUUCAAGCCCCGCUGGGAUCGCCA
Molecule: transfer RNA, 77 nt
Filed under: Caulobacteraceae bacterium
Lineage: Bacteria; Pseudomonadati; Pseudomonadota; Alphaproteobacteria; Caulobacterales; Caulobacteraceae
Description: tRNA-Asp
Rfam family: tRNA
About the family: Transfer RNA (tRNA) molecules are approximately 80 nucleotides in length. Their secondary structure includes four short double-helical elements and three loops (D, anti-codon, and T loops).
Source: RNAcentral